This 585-nucleotide ribosomal RNA is filed under the name Lodderomyces elongisporus. RNAcentral's name for it is "eukaryotic LSU rRNA". It matches the Rfam family "Eukaryotic large subunit ribosomal RNA", at positions 66 to 668 of the family's 3401-position model. Lineage: Eukaryota; Fungi; Ascomycota; Pichiomycetes; Serinales; Debaryomycetaceae. The record is from RNAcentral.
CACCGUGUAUUGCCUUAGUAGCGGCGAGUGAAGCGGCAAUAGCUCAAAUUUGAAAUCUGGCACUUUCAGUGUCCGAGUUGUAAUUUGAAGAAGGUAUCUUUGGGUCUAGCUCUUGUCUAUGUUUCUUGGAACAGAACGUCACAGAGGGUGAGAAUCCCGUGCGAUGAGAUGUCUAGAUCUAUGUAAAGUUCCUUCGAAGAGUCGAGUUGUUUGGGAAUGCAGCUCUAAGUGGGUGGUAAAUUCCAUCUAAAGCUAAAUAUUGGCGAGAGACCGAUAGCGAACAAGUACAGUGAUGGAAAGAUGAAAAGAACUUUGAAAAGAGAGUGAAAAAGUACGUGAAAUUGUUGAAAGGGAAGGGCUUGAGAUCAGACUUGGUAUUUUGUAUGUUACUCUCUCGGGGGUGGCCUCUACAGUUUACCGGGCCAGCAUCAGUUUGAGCGGUAGGAGAAUUGCGUAGGAAUGUGGCUCGGCCUCGGUCGAGUGUUAUAGCCUUCGUCGAUACUGCCAGCUUAGACUGAGGACUGCGGCUUCGGCCUAGGAUGUUGGCAUAAUGAUCUUAAGUCGCCCGUCUUGAAACACGGACCA